This 520-nucleotide ribosomal RNA is filed under the name uncultured bacterium. RNAcentral's name for it is "bacterial SSU rRNA". It matches the Rfam family "Bacterial small subunit ribosomal RNA", at positions 120 to 674 of the family's 1533-position model. The record is from RNAcentral.
GGGAAUCUACCCAUCUCUGCGGAAUAGCUCCGGGAAACUGGAAUUAAUACCGCAUACGCCCUACGGGGGAAAGAUUUAUCGGGGAUGGAUGAGCCCGCGUUGGAUUAGCUAGUUGGUGGGGUAAAGGCCUACCAAGGCGACGAUCCAUAGCUGGUCUGAGAGGAUGAUCAGCCACAUUGGGACUGAGACACGGCCCAAACUCCUACGGGAGGCAGCAGUGGGGAAUAUUGGACAAUGGGCGCAAGCCUGAUCCAGCCAUGCCGCGUGAGUGAUGAAGGCCUUAGGGUUGUAAAGCUCUUUCACCGGUGAAGAUAAUGACGGUAACCGGAGAAGAAGCCCCGGCUAACUUCGUGCCAGCAGCCGCGGUAAUACGAAGGGGGCUAGCGUUGUUCGGAAUUACUGGGCGUAAAGCGCACGUAGGCGGAUAUUUAAGUCAGGGGUGAAAUCCCAGAGCUCAACUCUGGAACUGCCUUUGAUACUGGGUAUCUUGAGUAUGGAAGAGGUAAGUGGAAUUGCGAGU